This 571-nucleotide ribosomal RNA is filed under the name uncultured cyanobacterium. RNAcentral's name for it is "bacterial SSU rRNA". It matches the Rfam family "Bacterial small subunit ribosomal RNA", at positions 850 to 1422 of the family's 1533-position model. Lineage: Bacteria; Bacillati; Cyanobacteriota. The record is from RNAcentral.
AGCUAACGCGUUAAGUGUUCCGCCUGGGGAGUACGCACGCAAGUGUGAAACUCAAAGGAAUUGACGGGGGCCCGCACAAGCGGUGGAGUAUGUGGUUUAAUUCGAUGCAACGCGAAGAACCUUACCAGGGUUUGACAUCCUGCGAAUCCCUUGGAAACGAGGGAGUGCCUUCGGGAGCGCAGAGACAGGUGGUGCAUGGCUGUCGUCAGCUCGUGUCGUGAGAUGUUGGGUUAAGUCCCGCAACGAGCGCAACCCACGUCUUUAGUUGCCAGCAUUUAGUUGGGCACUCUAGAGAGACCGCCGGUGAUAAACCGGAGGAAGGUGUGGAUGACGUCAAGUCAUCAUGCCCCUUACAUCCUGGGCUACACACGUACUACAAUGCUACGGACAAAGGGUUGCAAACUCGCGAGAGCUAGCUAAUCCCAUAAACCGUGGCUCAGUUCAGAUCGUAGGCUGCAAUUCGCCUACGUGAAGGAGGAAUCGCUAGUAAUCGCAGGUCAGCAUACUGCGGUGAAUACGUUCCCGGGCCUUGUACACACCGCCCGUCACACCACGGAAGUUGGCCACGCCC